RNAcentral lists this ribosomal RNA (768 nucleotides) under uncultured bacterium. RNAcentral describes it as "bacterial SSU rRNA". It matches the Rfam family "Bacterial small subunit ribosomal RNA", at positions 8 to 796 of the family's 1533-position model. The record is from RNAcentral.
AGAGUUUGAUCAUGGCUCAGGGUAAACGCUGGCGGCGUGCCUAAAACAUGCAAGUCGAACGGAUCACCUUCGGGUGGUCAGUGGCAGACGGCUGAGUAACGCGUGGGUGACGCACCUGUUGGUGGGGCAUAACUGCCCGAAAGGGUGGCUAAUUCCGCAUAAGUCUGUUGCUUCAGUGCAGCAGGGAAAGCUCUGGCAACAGAGCGCCGAUGGAGCGGCCCGCGUCCGAUUAGCUGGUUGGUGGGGUAACGGCCUACCAAGGCGACGAUCGGUAGCUGGUCUCAGAGGAUGAUCAGCCAGACUGGGACUGAGACACGGCCCAGACUCCUACGGGAGGCAGCAGUUAGGAAUUUUGGGCAAUGGGCGCAAGCCUGACCCAGCAACGCCGCGUGGGUGACGAAGGCCUUCGGGUUGUAAAGCCCUUUUCUGAGGGAAGAUGAUGACGGUACCUCAGGAAGAAGCACCGGCUAACUACGUGCCAGCAGCCGCGGUAAUACGUAGGGUGCGAGCGUUGCCCGGAUUUAUUGGGCGUAAAGGGCGCGUGGGCGGCCACGCACGUCCGUUGUGAAAUCGCUCGGCUCAACUGGGCGGGGUCAGCGGAUACGGCGUGGCUGGAGCAAGCUAGGGGGCAAUGGAAUUCCCGGGUGUAGUGGUGGAAUGCGUAGAUAUCGGGAGGAACACCAGUGGCGAAGGCGGUUGCCUGGAGCUUUGCUGACGCUGAUGCGCGAAAGCGUGGGGAGCGAUCCGGAUUAGAUACCCUAGUAGUCC